Molecule: long non-coding RNA, 225 nt
Filed under: Capsicum annuum
Lineage: Eukaryota; Viridiplantae; Streptophyta; Magnoliopsida; Solanales; Solanaceae
Description: long non-coding RNA (CANN_LNC012672)
Source: RNAcentral
AAUACGGUCCCCUAUAAGACCGAGGGGUGCAAUCAAAGGAAAGUAAAUAACCAAAGAAUCAUAUAUUACCAAAUAUCAAGCCAUAACCAUGAAUCUAUCCAUACUGUAUAAUAUCAUAAAUAAAUCUCAAUACCGGACUCUAAUUGAAACUCAAUAGCAUCAUCACCAUUUGCUGGACUUGAAUUAGAACUCAUGUUUAAAUAUCAUCAUUGAUUGUCAGACUUG